GACUAUAUUACAUGGAUUUAUUGUGAUGGUGUAGGUAGACUAUAUUACAUGGAUUUAUUGUGAUGGUGUAGACUAUAUUACAUGGAUUUAUUGUGAUGGUGUAGGUAGACUAUAUUACAUGGAUUUAUUGUGAUGGUGUAGACUAUAUUACAUUGAUUUAUUGUGAUGGUGUAGACUAUAUUACAUGGAUUUAUUGUGAUGGUGUAGGUAGACUAUAUUACAUGGAUUUAUUGUGAUGGUGUAGGUAGACUAUAUUACAUGGAUUUAUUGUGAUGGUGUAGGUAGACUAUAUUACAUGGAUUUAUUGUGAUGGUGUAGGUAGACUAUAUUACAUGGAUUUAUUGUGAAGGUGUAGGUAGACUAUAUUACAUGGAUUUAUUGUGAUGGUGUAGACUAUAUUACAUGGAUUUAUUGUGAUGGUGUAGGUAGACUAUAUUACAUGGAUUUAUUGUGAUGGUGUAGACUAUAUUACAUGGAUUUAUUGUGAUGGUGUAGACUAUAUUACAUGGAUUUAUUGUGAUGGUGUAGGUAGACUAUAUUACAUGGAUUUAUUGUGAUGGUGUAGGUAGACUAUAUUACAUGGAUUUAUUG
This 591-nucleotide long non-coding RNA is filed under the name Salmo salar (Atlantic salmon). Its description in RNAcentral is "lncRNA (ENSSSAG00000110139.1)". Lineage: Eukaryota; Metazoa; Chordata; Actinopteri; Salmoniformes; Salmonidae. The record is from RNAcentral.